This 315-nucleotide ribosomal RNA is filed under the name Triticum aestivum (bread wheat). Its description in RNAcentral is "partial small subunit ribosomal RNA". Lineage: Eukaryota; Viridiplantae; Streptophyta; Magnoliopsida; Poales; Poaceae. The record is from RNAcentral.
AUGGAGGACACCGACCCCAAGUCCAGUGCCUCUGCUCCUGCUGCUGUCACGUACGUGUCUCUCCCCUUUCUGUUAGAGGUUCUGCUACAGUUCCUGGUUCUAGUAUUUGCCCUAGAUAUGUUAGACUCAUAUGUGCAACCUGCUAUAUUGUCUGCUCUAGAGAUGUUUAGUUACGGUUUAUAUAUAAACAUGUUGUUUACCUUCUCUUUGUCAAAUCACAUGGCUUAUUUCAUCACUGCUAUACUAGGCAUGUUUUAUCUACUAUUUCUGUUAAUAAAAUCAUUCGGUAAAUUGCUUAUAUUUCUAACAGUGUAA